GAGGGGGGUAGAAUUCCAGGGGUAGCGGUGAAAUGCGUAGAGAUCUGGAGGAAUACCGGUGGCGAAGGCGGCCCCCUGGACGAAGACUGACGCUCAGGUGCGAAAGCGUGGGGAGCAAACAGGAUUAGAUACCCUGGUAGUCCACGCUGUAAACGAUGUCGAUUUGGAGGUUGUGCCCUUGAGGCGUGGCUUCCGGAGCUAACGCGUUAAAUCGACCGCCUGGGGAGUACGGCCGCAAGGUUAAAACUCAAAUGAAUUGACGGGGGCCCGCACAAGCGGUGGAGCAUGUGGUUUAAUUCGAUGCAACGCGAAGAACCUUACCUACUCUUGACAUCCAGAGAACUUUCCAGAGAUGGAUUGGUGCCUUCGGGAACUCUGAGACAGGUGCUGCAUGGCUGUCGUCAGCUCGUGUUGUGAAAUGUUGGGUUAAGUCCCGCAACGAGCGCAACCCUUAUCCUUUGUUGCCAGCGGUUCGGCCGGGAACUCAAAGGAGACUGCCAGUGAUAAACUGGAGGAAGGUGGGGAUGACGUCAAGUCAUCAUGGCCCUUACGAGUAGGGCUACACACGUGCUACAAUGGCGUAUACAAAGAGAAGCGACCUCGCGAGAGCAAGCGGACCUCAUAAAGUACGUCGUAGUCCGGAUUGGAGUCUGCAACUCGACUCCAUGAAGUCGGAAUCGCUAGUAAUCGUAGAUCAGAAUGCUACGGUGAAUACGUUCCCGGGCCUUGUACACACCGCCCGUCACACCAUGGGAGUGGGUUGCAAAAGAAGUAGGUAGCUUAACCUUCGGGAGGGCGCUUACCACUUUGUGAUUCAUGACUGGGGUGAAGUCGUAACAAGGUAACCGUAGGGGAACCUGCGGUUGGAUCACCUCCUUA
Molecule: non-coding RNA, 879 nt
Filed under: Asticcacaulis sp. YBE204
Lineage: Bacteria; Pseudomonadati; Pseudomonadota; Alphaproteobacteria; Caulobacterales; Caulobacteraceae
Description: Bacterial small subunit ribosomal RNA
Rfam family: Bacterial small subunit ribosomal RNA
Source: Rfam by way of RNAcentral